Molecule: ribosomal RNA, 469 nt
Filed under: uncultured bacterium
Lineage: Bacteria
Description: bacterial SSU rRNA
Rfam family: Bacterial small subunit ribosomal RNA
Source: RNAcentral
GAUGAACGCUAGCGGCAGGCUUAACACAUGCAAGUCGAGGGGCAGCACGGGUAGCAAUACCUGGUGGCGACCGGCGCAAGGGUGCGUAACGCGUGAGCAACAUGCCCUAUACAGGGGGAUAAUCCAGGGAAACUUGGUCUAAUAUCCCAUAGUAUUUAGAGGAGGCAUCUUCUAUAAAUUAAAGCUUCGGUGGUAUAGGAUUGGCUCGCGUGACAUUAGCUAGAUGGUGAGGUAACGGCUCACCAUGGCAAUGAUGUCUAGGGGUUCUGAGAGGAAGGCCCCCCACACUGGGACUGAGACACGGCCCAGACUCCUACGGGAGGCAGCAGUGAGGAAUAUUGGACAAUGGAUGGAAAUCUGAUCCAGCCAUGCCGCGUGCAGGAAGACAGCCCUAUGGUGUAAACUGCUUUAUAUGGAGCAAUAAGGUCUACGUGUAGAACUGAUGAGAGUAACCAUAAUGAAUAAAGCA